RNAcentral lists this ribosomal RNA (1427 nucleotides) under uncultured organism. Its description in RNAcentral is "SSU rRNA". It matches the Rfam family "Bacterial small subunit ribosomal RNA". The record is from RNAcentral.
UUGCGGCGUGGAUAAGACAUGCAAGUCGAACGAGAGAAUUGCUAGCUUGCUAAUAAUUCUCUAGUGGCGCACGGGUGAGUAACACGUGAGUAACCUGCCCCCGAGAGCGGGAUAGCCCUGGGAAACUGGGAUUAAUACCGCAUAGUAUCGAAAGAUUAAAGCAGCAAUGCGCUUGGGGAUGGGCUCGCGGCCUAUUAGUUAGUUGGUGAGGUAACGGCUCACCAAGGCGAUGACGGGUAGCCGGUCUGAGAGGAUGUCCGGCCACACUGGAACUGAGACACGGUCCAGACACCUACGGGUGGCAGCAGUCGAGAAUCAUUCACAAUGGGGGAAACCCUGAUGGUGCGACGCCGCGUGGGGGAAUGAAGGUCUUCGGAUUGUAAACCCCUGUCAUGUGGGAGCAAAUUAAAAAGAUAGUACCACAAGAGGAAGAGACGGCUAACUCUGUGCCAGCAGCCGCGGUAAUACAGAGGUCUCAAGCGUUGUUCGGAAUCACUGGGCGUAAAGCGUGCGUAGGCUGUUUCGUAAGUCGUGUGUGAAAGGCGCGGGCUCAACCCGCGGACGGCACAUGAUACUGCGAGACUAGAGUAAUGGAGGGGGAACCGGAAUUCUCGGUGUAGCAGUGAAAUGCGUAGAUAUCGAGAGGAACACUCGUGGCGAAGGCGGGUUCCUGGACAUUAACUGACGCUGAGGCACGAAGGCCAGGGGAGCGAAAGGGAUUAGAUACCCCUGUAGUCCUGGCAGUAAACGGUGCACGCUUGGUGUGCGGGGAAUCGACCCCCUGCGUGCCGGAGCUAACGCGUUAAGCGUGCCGCCUGGGGAGUACGGUCGCAAGAUUAAAACUCAAAGAAAUUGACGGGGACCCGCACAAGCGGUGGAGUAUGUGGCUUAAUUCGAUGCAACGCGAAGAACCUUACCUGGGCUUGACAUGUAAUGAACAACAUGUGAAAGCAUGCGACUCUUCGGAGGCGUUACACAGGUGCUGCAUGGCCGUCGUCAGCUCGUGUCGUGAGAUGUUUGGUUAAGUCCAGCAACGAGCGCAACCCCUGUUGCCAGUUACCAGCACGUGAAGGUGGGGACUCUGGCGAGACUGCCCAGAUCAACUGGGAGGAAGGUGGGGACGACGUCAGGUCAGUAUGGCCCUUAUGCCCAGGGCUGCACACGUACUACAAUGCCCAGUACAGAGGGGGCCGAAGCCGCGAGGCGGAGGAAAUCCUGAAAACUGGGCCCAGUUCGGACUGUAGGCUGCAACCCGCCUACACGAAGCCGGAAUCGCUAGUAAUGGCGCAUCAGCUACGGCGCCGUGAAUACGUUCCCGGGUCUUGUACACACCGCCCGUCACAUCAUGGAAGCCGGUCGCACCCGAAGUAUCUGAAGCCAACCGCAAGGAGGCAGGGUCCUAAGGUGAGACUGGUAACUGGGAUGAA